GGGGACGUUACGGAUUCGACAGGGACGGAUCGAGCUUGAGUUGCGAGCCGAGAGGCGAUCUCGUAAAAACGCACCUAAAUAUAACUGGCAAAUCUAACCAGAACUUAGCACUAGCUGCCUAAUUAGCGCAGCGAGCUCUUGCCCGCAUCGCCUAUGUGCCGGUUAAGAGCCCAUAACGAAGUAGGCUACGCUUGCGCUCCCGUCUGAGAGCGCAGGAAGAGACUUAUCAGACUAGCUUUCCGAGG
RNAcentral lists this transfer-messenger RNA (245 nucleotides) under Staphylococcus aureus. Its description in RNAcentral is "partial transfer-messenger RNA". It matches the Rfam family "transfer-messenger RNA", at positions 1 to 265 of the family's 374-position model. From Rfam's summary of the family: Bacterial tmRNA, also known as 10Sa RNA or SsrA, is named for its dual tRNA and mRNA-like properties. Its role is to liberate the mRNA from a stalled ribosome. The record is from RNAcentral. Lineage: Bacteria; Bacillati; Bacillota; Bacilli; Caryophanales; Staphylococcaceae.